RNAcentral lists this ribosomal RNA (271 nucleotides) under uncultured prokaryote. RNAcentral describes it as "partial 16S ribosomal RNA". It matches the Rfam family "Bacterial small subunit ribosomal RNA", at positions 525 to 777 of the family's 1533-position model. The record is from RNAcentral.
ACGGAGGGUGCGAGCGUUGUCCGGAAUCACUGGGCGUAAAGGGCGCGUAGGCGGCAUGCCAAGCGUGUGGUGAAAGCCCGGGGCUCAACCCCGGGUCGGCCGUGCGGACUGGCGUGCUCGAGCACUGUAGGGGCGGGUGGAAUUCCGGGUGUAGCGGUGGAAUGCGUAGAGAUCCGGAAGAACACCGGUGGCGAAGGCGGCCCGCUGGGCAGGAAGGGGGAGCAAUCCCCCGGCUGACGCUGAGGCGCGACAGCGUGGGGAGCAAACAGGA